UACGUAGGGUGCGAGCGUUAAUCGGAAUUACUGGGCGUAAAGGGUGCGCAGGCGGUUGAUUAAGUCAGAUGUGAAAUCCCCGGGCUUAACCUGAGCAUGGCAUUUGAGACUGGUCGGCUAGAGUGUGUCAGAGGGGGGUAGAAUUCCACGUGUAGCAGUGAAAUGCGUAGAGAUGUGGAGGAAUACCGAUGGCGAAGGCAGCCCCCUGGGAUAACACUGACGCUCAGGCACGAAAGCGUGGGGAGCAAACAGG
This 253-nucleotide ribosomal RNA is filed under the name uncultured bacterium. Its description in RNAcentral is "partial 16S ribosomal RNA". It matches the Rfam family "Bacterial small subunit ribosomal RNA", at positions 524 to 776 of the family's 1533-position model. The record is from RNAcentral.